UACGGGGGGGGCAAGCGUUGUUCGGAAUUACUGGGCGUAAAGGGCUCGUAGGCGGCCAACUAAGUCAGACGUGAAAUCCCCAGGCUUAACCUGGGAACUGCGUCUGAUACUGGAUGGCUUGAAUCCGGGAAAGGGAUGCAGAAUUCCAGGUAUAGCGGUGAAAUGCGUAGAUAUCUGGAGGAACACCGGUGGCGAAGGCGGCAUCCUGGACCGACACUGACACUGAGGAGCGAAAGCCAGGGGAGCAAACGGG
This 253-nucleotide ribosomal RNA is filed under the name uncultured bacterium. RNAcentral's name for it is "partial 16S ribosomal RNA". It matches the Rfam family "Bacterial small subunit ribosomal RNA", at positions 524 to 776 of the family's 1533-position model. The record is from RNAcentral.